CUAUACAUGACUCUGUGCAUAUCAAUAAGCGGAGGAAAAGAAACUAACAAGGAUUCCCCUAGUAACGGCGAGUAGAAGCGGGAAGAGCUCAAAUUUGAAAUCUUAAAGGGUUUCCCUUUACGAAUUGUAGUUUAAAGAAGUGUUUUCUGUUGAGGUUUUGGUAAAAGUUCUUUGGAAUAGGACAUCAUAGAGGGUGAGAAUCCCGUAUUUGACCUUUACUUUCAACUUUGUGAUACACUUUCAAAGAGUCGGAUUGUUUGGGAAUGCAGUCCAAAGUGGGUGGUAAAUUUCAUCUAAAGCUAAAUAUUGGCGAGAGACCGAUAGCGAACAAGUACCGUGAGGGAAAGAUGAAAAGAACUUUGAAAAGAGAGUUAAACAGUACGUGAAAUUGUCAAAAGGGAAGCGUUUGACACCAGUGUUGUUUUUCUGAAAAUCAAUUAAAGAACUGUUUAUGCUAAGUUGUUUAGACUUUAUCAGGCUAACUGUUUAGUUUUGAGCUUUUCUUUAAUGCACUUUUCAGUUAACAAGUCAACAUCAAUUUCUUUUGCUGUAAAAAGGUCAUUGAGGAAGGUGGCUUGAGAUUCGUCUUAAGUGUUUAUAGCCUCUUGCCUAUGCAGUCGGAGAGAUUGAGGUCUGCAGCGUAGAUCCUUCGGGGCUAAAUGCAUUUGUGCUAAGUUAUAGCAUUUUAUAGACAACUUGUUGACUAUGAUUUGUCUUGUAGCUUACUCGCUUAUGUUAUUUUACCUACGCUUAGGAUGUUGACAGCAGUAUAGACUGU
RNAcentral lists this ribosomal RNA (778 nucleotides) under uncultured Neocallimastigales. RNAcentral's name for it is "partial large subunit ribosomal RNA". It matches the Rfam family "Eukaryotic large subunit ribosomal RNA", at positions 22 to 629 of the family's 3401-position model. The record is from RNAcentral. Lineage: Eukaryota; Fungi; Neocallimastigomycota; Neocallimastigomycetes; Neocallimastigales.